This 26-nucleotide non-coding RNA is filed under the name Rattus norvegicus (Norway rat). The record is from RNAcentral. Lineage: Eukaryota; Metazoa; Chordata; Mammalia; Rodentia; Muridae.
UUUAUUCAAACUAUGUCUAUGUGUCU